Molecule: ribosomal RNA, 471 nt
Filed under: uncultured bacterium
Lineage: Bacteria
Description: bacterial SSU rRNA
Rfam family: Bacterial small subunit ribosomal RNA
Source: RNAcentral
AUUGAACGCUGGCGGCAGGCCUAACACAUGCAAGUCGAGCGCGAAAAUUCCUUCGGGGAUGAGUAGAGCGGCGGACGGGUGAGUAAUGCGCAGAAAUCUGCCCAGUAGUGGGGGACAACCUGGUGAAAACCAGGCUAAUACCGCAUACGCCCUACGGGGAAAGGCAGGGAUCUUCGGACCUUGCGCUAUUGGAUGAGUCUGCGUCGGAUUAGCUUGUUGGUGAGGUAAUGGCUCACCAAGGCGACGAUCCGUAGCUGGUCUGAGAGGAUGAUCAGCCACACUGGGACUGAGACACGGCCCAGACUCCUACGGGAGGCAGCAGUGGGGAAUAUUGGACAAUGGGCGAAAGCCUGAUCCAGCCAUGCCGCGUGUGUGAAGAAGGCUCUAGGGUUGUAAAGCACUUUCAGUGGGGAAGAAAGCUUGUUAGCUAAUAACUGACGAGUGUGACAUUACCCACAGAAGAAGCACCGG